CUUAUUUCUACUUUCUACUUUCAGUUUCCACUUUCUGACUUUCAGUUUCUUUCUUCUUUUCUACUUUCUACUUUCCCAGCUAUUAGGAUUAUUAGAGCACAAUGGAUUUCAGUUGUGCAUCACUGUUGGUAUGCCUGACUGGCACCGUUCUCCUGCUUCACUAUCCUGUCGAUUCCUGUCCUGUCCAACCUUCUUCCGGACUAAAUGAUAGCGAAGUGUCCCCUGAGGAAGUUCAUACAAAUCGCGGACAGUGUGCAGUGCAGCGAGGUUUGCAGAUUCCGUUUGAAGAGUUGCUCGAGGAACCCGAAUGUACAGAUCCGCAGCUUUGAGUGAAAAGCAGCAUCAGCAGCACCGCGCUGUCCGUUGUUCGUACUCACCACACGCCUUCUCCUGAGCAGUCAAAUUCAAUCUGUUGUUCUUUUGUCUGUCCUCUUCGCUCUCUUCCUCUUUCCUUUUUUCGUUGGACGCCUCUUGGAUUCUGGUUCUCCCGCCAUCCCAGUCUCCGUGGACUAAUGUCGGCUUGCGUCCAGGAUCCAGCUCAGUCAAGUUUACUCAGAUUAGGCGUACAGUCCGUUUUGUACUGGUCGGACACGUGGGGAUUUCGCAGGGAUGGAUUCAAAUGGAGCGUCACACAACCGCACGAGAUGGACUGGAUGGGUUUGCUAACGUUUGCGAGAGUAAAGCAUCGUUUGUGGGGCGACAUGUGGAAAGGAGGAAUACCACAUAUCCGUAGGUACAUCUGUUUGCCUAUUUACCUGUGAUUCCUGUGUACGCCUUCCCUACGUCGCUACGGAUGCUAUUAUUUAGUUAUAUCUUUCGUAUAUGGUUUGUUGUUCUCUUAUUUUUAGCGGUGUAUGUGAUGUCAGCGCUUUUAGUCAAUGCGGCUGGUGUUCUCACCAAUGUAAGCAGUUGGAUAGGUUUUAGUAAUUGUU
Paramacrobiotus metropolitanus is the source of this 932-nucleotide long non-coding RNA. RefSeq lists it as uncharacterized. The transcript has 3 exons. Lineage: Eukaryota; Metazoa; Tardigrada; Eutardigrada; Parachela; Macrobiotidae. The record is from RefSeq and is a predicted model, not a curated record.